UGUCAGUAUUUAUGUGCCCAUAUGUGUAUAAUAUGUGUAUGUUUUUCUCUGAGUGUCUCACAGGAAAGGUAGAGAAAUUGAGAGGAAGCAUCGAGACACUUUUAUGCCAAUUUGAUAGAGUAAUUUUAUGCUAAUUGAAUCUAAUGAUAAGAAAUUCGGCCUUGUGUUUUCUACACAUAUAUGUUCUAUUUUAUUUUUCUAGUAAUUCACUUUUUUUGUAUUUUGUGAAAGCGUGGGUCUGCGGCAGACUGCACACAAAACUCCUCCUUCCUCAUAGUUCGAGAAGCACGAAUUAGGACCAGAUCAACAUUCUGGGAAGGUCCUGAUUCUGAAAUUCCCAAGGGAGAGAGACUCACUUCAGAACGCUGAGGUUCCUGCUCUGGGUCGUAUCAAGGAAGCAUGAGGACAGACAAAGGGGUGGGGGUCAGGCCUCAGAUCUGACUGGCGUCUGGGGGCACAACCUGCUCUUCCUCCCCUUCCUCUCCCCUAAGUGAGAUGGGACCACCAGGCAGUUCUCAAGUGGGUGGGAGGCUGACCCUGCUGUGCCUCCAAGCCCACGCCUGUUCAAGGUGCUGCCCUCCUUCCCUCCUGCAGAACAGGAGAAGCUGAUGACUAACAGAGCUCAGCUUGAUCACAUGGGUGAACCCUUCCAGUCAAAUCUACCCUGGGCUAAUCCCUCCUGAACCUCACGUCCUUCAGCAUUACUUCCUGGUACCACUCAUUUGGGUUUUUAGAUGUGUGCUUCCUUGCUUUGUUAUUUGAUUCUUACAUGUGUGUCCAGUCUUCCCAACUGGAUGGAAAACUCGUGGGACAGGAAUCAGGUCGUCUUGUGCUUCUCUAGCCCAGAGGGGACACUCAGUGACUGUGCUGCCUCUCAGAAUCCUCGUUGUUUGUAACACAAGGAUGUGUAACAGUUGUAUAACUUCUAAAAUGCUCCUGGUACUAAGACUCUAUGAAACAAGAAGAAACAUCCAAGUGCUCACAGCCAGACUAGAACGUAAGAAGAAACUGCACAGUUAGACCCUGAGGUAGCUCAAAGGAGGAAACGCAGAGAAUCAGUGACGAUCCCCUAAAGACUAGUGUUUUCUGGAUCUUCGAGGAAGGGUGGGUGAGAGUGCCACAGAAGUCUGUCUGGGUGGUGGGCAUGAAGGACAGCAGCAGCAUGAAGAAAGUCCUUGACCUACAAGUGCCACCCUCAGGAUGGGUCAUCAGGCUUCCCCCUCUGAACGUCCUUCUGGUGGCGAGAGGCAGAGUCUCCAGGAAGAAGGGGGUUCUGGAGGAGUGAGGAGGUGCAGGAGGGGCCGGGGCCACUAGGAGUGGCUAAGGGGAACAUGGCAUAUGCAUUUUUUUAUCCUUUGCUUGGGUCCUGUGUGAGCCUGUCCAGAAGUGCUUCCUGGUCGCUCAGUGGAGAGCAAUGGGAGGAUCCAUGGUGACUACUGAACUGGAAGCGACAUGCUCUGAUAAGUUCUUCGAGACAGGGUGUGAGAGGAACUGCUGCUGCCGCCGUCCGGAGGCGCCAAGGUGGAGACAAGCUGGGAUGCAGAAGGCUUGAAAUAAAAUCUACCCAGAGGGAAGCCCGAUGAUGGUAGAACAUCAGCUGCUGGAGGCAAGUGGUUGCUGACAGUUGUGUCUCUGGGCUCCACAUAGCUUUUUAGCUAACUUUCUGCCCAACAGCUUGACACAUCCAUGGUGGACCACCUGGAGCCAGGACAGGUGACAGGAGGAGCACUUAUUCCUGGCAGUGAUCCCCGCCGCCCCGGCCUUUGAUCAGCUCCAGCCGUGCAAACUUGCUGCGGUGCUGAUUCAAAAAUGAGAUGAGAUUGUGCAUGUUGAGCUUCCCAGUGAUGUAUGUCCUGAGUAUGUAUAAUGAUAUCCUUGCGAGAGAGAGAAGAGACAAAGGAACAGAAUAGUGUAAACCAACUGAUCGUCCAGGGAACUGGACGAUUUUCUAGCUCAGGCUAGAAAAGCCCAAAGGUGAACAAGAAGGGUGAGGCUUCAGGGCAGCGUCCUGCUCUUGAGCAGCUCUGGAAGAACAAGCCUACCAUGCCCAGCUCUUCUGACUAUACUUCUUUGUCUCUUUACUAGGAUCCAGGACCUUGGUGAUGAGUCAACAACCACCAGGCUGGGGGUGGUUGGUCUCACAGAGGCAGGGGUUUUGUCAGAAGCUUCCAAUAGGGAAUCUCUCCAAGAGAGAUUCUCAUCCAAGAGGGGUCCUUGGCUCUGAAGACCCAUGGCCAUGACAUAUCUUGGAUCCUGGUUUCUGAACUCUGAGUCUCAGAGUUCUGUUACAAGAAAUUCAUUGCCAUAUUCCUUCUAAAAAGUAUCACUCUGUUCCCAGUGGCUGACCCUGUCCCCUGCCAGGUCCAUUUUCUCUUUACUGUGUAGCUCUUUGGGGUCUUCUCAAGGAGCCCAUUCCACCACAAUCUUGCCUCAGCAGUUGGACUGUCUCCCUUGCUCUUGAGUAUAGGAUCUGUCCUCAGGAAACAGAGCAUGUAAUCUUCAGCCCAACCAGAGCUGAAGCAGGGGGUUCUGCUCACAUGUGUUUUGUGGUCUUUGACUUAUUACAAGCCUGUGUGCAGCAUUUGGAUCUCCCAGGGGUGAUAAAAACAACAGUGAUAGAAAUGAUCAUAGCUAAUAUUUACUGAGGGGUUUAUGGGUUCUAGUCACUGUUCUAAAUGCCUUAUGUAUAUUUUUUCUCUGCCUCUCUUUUAUUUAUUUAUUUAUUUAUUUUUAGCACGUGAAGGACCUUCCUACUGCCCUAACCCCAUACUAUCUUAUCUUCCUUACCCAGUUCUUGAAGAGAAAUACUGGUCAGAGACUCAGACCCAUGAAGAGCAAGUUAAGGAAAACCCCGUUAAGGCUAGUGUACUCCUACCUUUGACUGAAUGCAGACAUAUGAGGGGUAUAC
Molecule: RNA transcript, 2908 nt
Organism: Lutra lutra (Eurasian river otter)
Lineage: Eukaryota; Metazoa; Chordata; Mammalia; Carnivora; Mustelidae
Gene: RNASE13
Gene name: ribonuclease A family member 13 (inactive)
Exons: 2
Source: RefSeq, a predicted model, not a curated record